RNAcentral lists this ribosomal RNA (425 nucleotides) under uncultured delta proteobacterium. Its description in RNAcentral is "bacterial SSU rRNA". It matches the Rfam family "Bacterial small subunit ribosomal RNA", at positions 608 to 1029 of the family's 1533-position model. The record is from RNAcentral. Lineage: Bacteria; Deltaproteobacteria.
CUCACCCGGGGGAUGGCACUUGAAACUGCGUAGCUGGAGUUCUGGAGAGGGUGGCGGAAUUCCCGGUGUAGGAGUGAAAUCCGUAGAGAUCGGGAGGAACACCAGAGGCGAAGGCGGCCACCUGGCCAGAAACUGACGCUGAGGCGCGAAAGCGUGGGUAGCAAACAGGAUUAGAUACCCUGGUAGUCCACGCUGUAAACAUUGGAUGCUAGAUGCGGGUGACGUAGAAGUCAUUCGUGUCGCAGCUAACGCGUUAAGCAUCCCGCCUGGGGAGUACGGCCGCAAGGCUGAAACUCAAAGGAAUUGACGGGGGCCUGCACAAGCGGUGGAGUAUGUGGUUUAAUUCGAUGCAACGCGAAGAACCUUACCUGGGCUUGACAUCCCGGGAGUCGUCUAGAGAUAGUCGAGUGCCCUUCGGGGAGCCC